Molecule: small nucleolar RNA, 85 nt
Organism: Callorhinchus milii (elephant shark)
Lineage: Eukaryota; Metazoa; Chordata; Chondrichthyes; Chimaeriformes; Callorhinchidae
Source: Ensembl
UGGCUUCAGUGAUGAUGAUGACAAUUGUCGCUCUUCCUGAUGUAACUCUGAAGGCUUUUAGUCACUACCUCAUCUGAGACAGCCA